This 375-nucleotide ribosomal RNA is filed under the name uncultured bacterium. RNAcentral's name for it is "bacterial SSU rRNA". It matches the Rfam family "Bacterial small subunit ribosomal RNA", at positions 521 to 896 of the family's 1533-position model. The record is from RNAcentral.
UAAGACGGAGGGUGCUAGCGUUGUUCGGAAUUACUGGGCGUAAAGGGCGCGUAGGCGGCCCUUGGAGUCGGAUGUGAAAGCCCGGGGCUCAACCCCGGAACGGCAUCCGAUACUCUUGGGCUCGAGACCGGGAGAGGAGGGUGGAAUACCCAGUGUAGAGGUGAAAUUCGUAGAUAUUGGGUGGAACACCGGUGGCGAAAGCGGCUCUCUGGCCCGGUUCUGACGCUGAGGCGCGAAAGCGUGGGGAGCAAACAGGAUUAGAUACCCUGGUAGUCCACGCCCUAAACGAUGUGCGCUGGACGUUGGCGGGCUUGCCCGUCGGUGUCGGAGCUAACGCGGUAAGCGCACCGCCUGGGGAGUACGGCCGCAAGGUUA